GUAUUUUUAUUAGGAGAGUAGCCCGUUAAAGCCAUUUUAUGUAGCCCUAACUCGUUUGAACGCCGUCAAUGAUCUAUUUAAACAACAAUAGAUGCGUGUUUUUGCUGUCUCACAAACGAAGCAGUUUGGUUCUGUCUUUCCCUAUUCUGGAAAGAAAAAUGUCUCGAUCAUUUUCAAAAGGCUAGACAGUUUACUAAUUGCAUAUGGAAAAUUUUGUUCAGAUACAGCAGAUCAGCUGCUUGACUUGGAAACUGUAAAAGAUGGAGGAACAGAAAAUGAGAACGGUGAAAGAAUCGCUGCUUUUGGUAUGAGAGGUAUA
RNAcentral lists this long non-coding RNA (319 nucleotides) under Olea europaea (common olive). RNAcentral describes it as "long non-coding RNA (OEUR_LNC011401)". The record is from RNAcentral. Lineage: Eukaryota; Viridiplantae; Streptophyta; Magnoliopsida; Lamiales; Oleaceae.